This 285-nucleotide unclassified non-coding RNA is filed under the name Hevea brasiliensis (rubber tree). The record is from RNAcentral. Lineage: Eukaryota; Viridiplantae; Streptophyta; Magnoliopsida; Malpighiales; Euphorbiaceae.
GCACAAGCAUGCCAAAGUUCCAAACACACCUGAAGACGGUGUCGUUUCAUCCUCCUCCGUGGUAUUAAGAUCUAUAAUGCCCACCAUUUUAUCCUCAAACCCCAACUAACCAACAAGAGUACAGAAUUGAAGAAAGAAAAGAUUUAGACAAGUGGUUUGGUUAUAGAGAGAAAAGAGAAUGGUUUUCAUUGCUGCAUCAGUGCAACUUUGGCAUUUGCUUAAUAAAAGGGAGAUGGGGUUGGGUGAGUCAAGACUCUUUCUCUCUUUUUCUCUCACUCAAAUGAA